RNAcentral lists this ribosomal RNA (1346 nucleotides) under uncultured bacterium. RNAcentral describes it as "partial 16S ribosomal RNA". It matches the Rfam family "Bacterial small subunit ribosomal RNA", at positions 28 to 1381 of the family's 1533-position model. The record is from RNAcentral.
UACGAACGCUGGCGGCGUGCUUAACACAUGCAAGUCGAACGGAAAGGCCCUGCUUUUGUGGGGUGCUCGAGUGGCGAACGGGUGAGUAACACGUGAGUAACCUGCCCUUGACUUUGGGAUAACUUCAGGAAACUGGGGCUAAUACCGGAUAGGAGCUCCUGCUGCAUGGUGGGGGUUGGAAAGUUUCGGCGGUUGGGGAUGGACUCGCGGCUUAUCAGCUUGUUGGUGGGGUAGUGGCUUACCAAGGCUUUGACGGGUAGCCGGCCUGAGAGGGUGACCGGCCACAUUGGGACUGAGAUACGGCCCAGACUCCUACGGGAGGCAGCAGUGGGGAAUAUUGCACAAUGGGCGGAAGCCUGAUGCAGCAACGCCGCGUGCGGGAUGACGGCCUUCGGGUUGUAAACCGCUUUCGCCUGUGACGAAGCGUGAGUGACGGUAAUGGGUAAAGAAGCACCGGCUAACUACGUGCCAGCAGCCGCGGUGAUACGUAGGGUGCGAGCGUUGUCCGGAUUUAUUGGGCGUAAAGGGCUCGUAGGUGGUUGAUCGCGUCGGAAGUGUAAUCUUGGGGCUUAACCCUGAGCGUGCUUUCGAUACGGGUUGACUUGAGGAAGGUAGGGGAGAAUGGAAUUCCUGGUGGAGCGGUGGAAUGCGCAGAUAUCAGGAGGAACACCAGUGGCGAAGGCGGUUCUCUGGGCCUUUCCUGACGCUGAGGAGCGAAAGCGUGGGGAGCGAACAGGCUUAGAUACCCUGGUAGUCCACGCUGUAAACGGUGGGUACUAGGUGUGGGGUCCAUUCCACGGGUUCCGUGCCGUAGCUAACGCUUUAAGUACCCCGCCUGGGGAGUACGGCCGCAAGGCUAAAACUCAAAGGAAUUGACGGGGCCCCGCACAAGCGGCGGAGCAUGCGGAUUAAUUCGAUGCAACGCGUAGAACCUUACCCGGGUUUGACAUGGAUCGGGAGUGCUCAGAGAUGGGUGUGCCUCUUUUGGGGUCGGUUCACAGGUGGUGCAUGCCUGUCGUCAGCUCGUGUCGUGAGAUGUUGGGUUAAGUCCCGCAACGAGCGCAACCCUUGUUCACUGUUGCCAGCACGUUAUGGUGGGGACUCAAUGGAGACCGCCGGGGUCAACUCGGAGGAAGGUGGGGAUGACGUCAAGUCAUCAUGCCCCUUAUGUCCAGGGCUUCACGCAUGCUACAAUGGCUGGUACAGAGAGUGGCGAGCCUGUGAGGGUGAGCGAAUCUCGGAAAGCCGGUCUCAGUUCGGAUUGGGGUCUGCAACUCGACCUCAUGAAGUCGGAGUCGCUAGUAAUCGCAGAUCAGCAACGCUGCGGUGAAUACGUUCCCGGGGCU